AUUGGGCGUAAAGAGCUCGUAGGUGGUUGGUCACGUCUGCUGUGGAAACGCAACGCUUAACGUUGCGCGUGCAGUGGGUACGGGCUGACUAGAGUGCAGUAGGGGAGUCUGGAAUUCCUGGUGUAGCGGUGAAAUGCGCAGAUAUCAGGAGGAACACCGGUGGCGAAGGCGGGACUCUGGGCUGUAACUGACACUGAGGAGCGAAAGCAUGGGGAGCGAACAGGAUUAGAUACCCUGGUAGUCCAUGCCGUAAACGUUGGGCACUAGGUGUGGGGGACAUUCCACGUUCUCCGCGCCGUAGCUAACGCAUUAAGUGCCCCGCCUGGGGAGUACGGUCGCAAGGCUAAAACUCAAAGGAAUUGACGGGGGCCCGCACAAGCGGCGGAGCAUGCGGAUUAAUUCGAUGCAACGCGAAGAACCUUACCAAGGCUUGACAUACACUGGACCGUUCUGGAAACCAGUUCUUCUCUUUGGAGCUGGUGUACAGGUGGUGCAUGGUUGUCGUCAGCUCGUGUCGUGAGAUGUUGGGUUAAGUCCCGCAACGAGCGCAACCCUCGUUCUAUGUUGCCAGCACGUGAUGGUGGGAACUCAUAGGAGACUGCCGGGGUCAACUCGGAGGAAGGUGGGGAUGACGUCAAAUCAUCAUGCCCUUUAUGUCUUGGGCUUCACGCAUGCUACAAUGGCUGGUACAGAGAGAGGCGAACCCGUGAGGGUGAGCGAAUCCCUUAAAGCCAGUCUCAGUUCGGAUCGUAGUCUGCAAUUCGACUACGUGAAGUCGGAGUCGCUAGUAAUCGCAGAUCAGCUACGCUGCGGUG
This 815-nucleotide ribosomal RNA is filed under the name uncultured Actinomycetes bacterium. RNAcentral's name for it is "bacterial SSU rRNA". It matches the Rfam family "Bacterial small subunit ribosomal RNA", at positions 553 to 1364 of the family's 1533-position model. Lineage: Bacteria; Bacillati; Actinomycetota; Actinomycetes. The record is from RNAcentral.